Molecule: small nuclear RNA, 196 nt
Filed under: Trifolium pratense (red clover)
Lineage: Eukaryota; Viridiplantae; Streptophyta; Magnoliopsida; Fabales; Fabaceae
Description: snRNA U2
Rfam family: U2 spliceosomal RNA
About the family: U2 is a small nuclear RNA (snRNA) component of the spliceosome (involved in pre-mRNA splicing). Complementary binding between U2 snRNA (in an area lying towards the 5' end but 3' to hairpin I) and the branchpoint sequence (BPS) of the intron results the bulging out of an unpaired adenosine, on the BPS, which initiates a nucleophilic attack at the intronic 5' splice site, thus starting the first of two transesterification reactions that mediate splicing.
Source: RNAcentral
AUACCUUUCUCGGCCUUUUGGCUAAGAUCAAGUGUAGUAUCUGUUCUUAUCAGUUUAAUAUCUGAUAUGUGGACCAAUGGUCCACACGAUAUUAAAUUUAUUUUUUAAGGGGGAGAUUCCAUCACAAUAGCUUGCUAUUGGGUCUCUCAAGUGUCGCUUUUGUGUUGCACUAUUGCAAUUGCCUGGCACACCCCAC